UCAUGUUCACUAUGGAGGAAAACAAGAAGAUAGGAAUGCUAACUACACUGAUAUGGUUAACAAAUACUAUGAUCUUGCUACGAGCUUUUAUGAGUUUGGGUGGGGAGAAUCUUUCCAUUUUGCACACAGAUGGAAUGGUGAGUCUCUUCGAAAAAGCAUCAAACGUCACGAG
Molecule: long non-coding RNA, 172 nt
Organism: Arachis duranensis
Lineage: Eukaryota; Viridiplantae; Streptophyta; Magnoliopsida; Fabales; Fabaceae
Exons: 3
Source: RefSeq, a predicted model, not a curated record